UACGUAGGGUCCGAGCGUUAAUCGGAAUUACUGGGCGUAAAGCGUGCGCAGGCGGUUUUGUAAGCCAGAUGUGAAAGCCCCGGGCUCAACCUGGGAACUGCAUUUGGGACUGCAAGGCUGGAGUACGGCAGAGGGAGGUGGAAUUCCACGUGUAGCAGUGAAAUGCGUAGAGAUGUGGAGGAACACCGAUGGCGAAGGCAGCCUCCUGGGCUAGUAACGUGACGCUCAUGCACGAAAGCGUGGGGAGCAAA
RNAcentral lists this ribosomal RNA (251 nucleotides) under uncultured bacterium. RNAcentral describes it as "partial 16S ribosomal RNA". It matches the Rfam family "Bacterial small subunit ribosomal RNA", at positions 524 to 772 of the family's 1533-position model. The record is from RNAcentral.